AGCCCACCAAGCCAAUGACGCCUAGCUGGUCUUAGAGGAUGAUCAGCCACACUGGAACUGAGACACGGUCCAGACUCCUACGGGAGGCAGCAGUGGGGAAUAUUGCACAAUGGAGGAAACUCUGAUGCAGCAACGCCGCGUGGAGGAUGACGCAUUUCGGUGUGUAAACUCCUUUUAUAUGGGAAGAUAAUGACGGUACCAUAUGAAUAGGCACCGGCUAACUCCGUGCCAGCAGCCGCGGUAAUACGGAGGGUGCAAGCGUUACUCGGAAUCACUGGGCGUAAAGCGCGCGCAGGCGGCCUUUUAAGUUGGAUGUGAAAGCCUACGGCUCAACCGUAGAACUGCAUCCAAAACUAUUGGGCUAGAGUGUGGGAGAGGAAGAUGGAAUUAGUUGUGUAGGGGUAAAAUCCGUAGAGAUAACUAGGAAUACCAAAAGCGAAGGCAAUCUUCUGGAACAUUACUGACGCUGAGGCGCGAAAGCGUGGGGAGCAAACAGGAUUAGAUACCCUGGUAGUCCACGCCCUAAACGAUGAAUGUUAGUCGUCGGGUAGCUAGUCUAUUCGGUGAUGCAGCUAACGCAUUAAACAUUCCGCCUGGGGAGUACGGUCGCAAGAUUAAAACUCAAAGGAAUAGACGGGGACCCGCACAAGUGGUGGAGCAUGUGGUUUAAUUCGAAGAUACGCGAAGAACCUUACCUAGCCUUGACAUAUAUUAGAACACCCUAGAGAUAGAGUGGUGCCUUCGGGAGCUUUUAUACAGGUGCUGCACGGCUGUCGUCAGCUCGUGUCGUGAGAUGUUGGGUUAAGUCCCGCAACGAGCGCAACCCUCGUCACUAGUUACUAACGGUUCGGCCGAGGACUCUAGUGAGACUGCCUUCGUAAGGAGGAGGAAGGUGAGGACGACGUCAAGUCAUCAUGGCCCUUACGGCUAGGGCAACACACGUGCUACAAUGGCCAGGACAAUGAGACGCGAUACCGCGAGGUGGAGCAAAUCUAUAAACCUGGUCUCAGUUCGGAUUGUAGUCUGCAACUCGACUACAUGAAGCUGGAAUCACUAGUAAUCGUAGAUCAGCUAUGCUACGGUGAAUACGUUCCCGGGUCUUGUACUCACCGCCCGUCACACCAUGGGAGUUGAUUUCACCCGAAGCGGGGAAGCUAAACUGGCUACCCUCCACGGUGGAAUCAGCGACUGGGGUGAAGUCGUAACAAGGUA
Molecule: ribosomal RNA, 1212 nt
Filed under: metagenome
Description: bacterial SSU rRNA
Rfam family: Bacterial small subunit ribosomal RNA
Source: RNAcentral